GCCGGGCGCGGUGGCUCAAGCCUGUAAUCCCAGCACUUUGGGAGGCCGAGGUGGGUGGAUCACCUGAGGUCAGGAGUUUGAGACCAGCCUGACCAACAUGGAGAAACCCCGUCUCUACUNNNNNNNNNNAGUAGAGACGGGGUUUCUCCAUGUUGGUCAGGCUGGUCUCAAACUCCUGACCUCAGGUGAUCCACCCACCUCGG
This 203-nucleotide signal recognition particle RNA is filed under the name Chlorocebus sabaeus (green monkey). RNAcentral describes it as "Metazoan signal recognition particle RNA". It matches the Rfam family "Metazoan signal recognition particle RNA". Rfam says of the family: The signal recognition particle (SRP) is a universally conserved ribonucleoprotein. The record is from Rfam by way of RNAcentral. Lineage: Eukaryota; Metazoa; Chordata; Mammalia; Primates; Cercopithecidae.